UCUGGGCACAUAUAAAUGAUGUGCUUGGGAUUGGCAAACAAGCACUGGUGAUAAAUGGACAGUGAGCAAACCGUCUGAAAACAUUAGUCAAAAGGAUUCUUCCCUUCCAGAAAUGCUUGGUUAAGCAGGAUCCAGGCUGAACAGCGGGCCCGCCAUCCCGGAGCUAUACCUCCAAGAACACGUGACCUCCUCGGGUGACGGGACAGAGGAAGAAGGUCUCACGCUGAUAAUUAAAGGUUUUGGCCUGGAAGUGACGCGCUUCACUUCUGCUCCAGAACAUAGUUCUGCCUGACUGGAAAGGGAGCAGAGAGAUGUGCUCUCCUCACAUGCCCCGAAGGAGAGGCAGAGAAGAAAUGGGUUAUCAUAAAAUCAUAAUGUUGGAGUCAUGUUAGUUUUCCAUGGAAAAUUCUCAAGAUUUUGCCGCUAUUGACAGUUCCCCUCAAAUGAAAGCACACAGGUCACAUGUUCUAAUUCCAUUAUUCA
Molecule: long non-coding RNA, 483 nt
Organism: Mustela lutreola (European mink)
Lineage: Eukaryota; Metazoa; Chordata; Mammalia; Carnivora; Mustelidae
Exons: 3
Source: RefSeq, a predicted model, not a curated record